GGUAGUGUGGUGCAGUGGUAGCAUUUCUGCUUACGUCGUCUGCCAUCACCUGUAAGAGCUACGAUAAAAGUUGAAGACCGAGGUUCAAUUCUUCGCACAACCA
This is a non-coding RNA of Elasticomyces elasticus, 103 nucleotides long. The record is from the annotation of a GenBank genome assembly. NCBI's taxonomy places the organism in Eukaryota, Fungi, Ascomycota, Dothideomycetes, Mycosphaerellales, Teratosphaeriaceae.